UCAUCGGAUUAGUGAUAGGUUGAAUUUACUUGAUUAAUAAACCUAAAAAGAUAAGGAAUUUCAAAUCACUAGCGAGACACGAUAAAAGUAAAAACGCGGAGCAAUUGCACAGGAAAUUAGAAACUAUAAGCAGACUUAUCAAAAUCUAAUUAAUUUUCAAAAACUAAAAUAAAAGAGCUCUUACAGGAUCGAUAGAGAGACGUUUAUAGAGAGCAGAAACUAUGUUUCGCUUUCUAUUCAGAACUAUGCUAUCGUUGGACGACGCCAUUGCUUCUGUGCUCCCUCACUCUCUUUCUCCUCCUCCUCCUCCCC
This 312-nucleotide long non-coding RNA is filed under the name Panax ginseng (ginseng). RNAcentral's name for it is "long non-coding RNA (PGIN_LNC000944)". The record is from RNAcentral. Lineage: Eukaryota; Viridiplantae; Streptophyta; Magnoliopsida; Apiales; Araliaceae.